Molecule: long non-coding RNA, 2600 nt
Organism: Peromyscus californicus insignis
Lineage: Eukaryota; Metazoa; Chordata; Mammalia; Rodentia; Cricetidae
Exons: 2
Source: RefSeq, a predicted model, not a curated record
CGCAAGUCCUAUCUAUAGUCCUGGGUCUCAAAUGUUGAGGCUGGGCUUGGGAAAGCUGAUGCUGGAGGAGCGCCGCGAGGUCCAGACCAGUGUGGACUACAAAGUGAGACUCUGUCUCAGAAAAUAAACAAAGCUGGGCACUGUGGCACCUGCCUAUAAUCCUAUAAUUAUAGGAAGAUCAUUAGUUCAAGGGCACAUAGUGAAGUAGGCCAGCCUGAGCUAUUUGAGACCUUGUCUCAAAUAAACAGAAACAAAAACAAAACGGGCGUUGCUCAGCGGUGGAGAGGUUGCACGCGCAGGUCCCUCGGUCCAUCCCCUCGGUCCAUCCCCAGCACCCGAAAAAUAAAAAUUUCAAAAGACCGUUACAUGUACGUGGCUCAGAGAUUCCGUAUUUCCUGUAAUGCUUUUUGAAAUAGCAAAUAAUGUUUAAAGGCAGAGUCCUGUGGCAAGGGGUAAAGUGCUUGCAAUGCAAGCAUGAGGACCUGAGUUGGGAUCCCUGGUACUGUUAUAAAACAGGCCCGUAACUGCAGCACGGGGGUGGGCAGUGCAUGAGGAUACCCGGGCGUGCUUGCCAGCUGAGGUCGCUGAAAAGCAGAGCGCCAGGCUCAAUAAGAGACCAUGUCUUAAGAGACUAAGGUGGAGAGUGAUGGAGCGAGACAAUCAAAAUGCUCCACACACUUGCGCAACCACACCCGCGUACACACGUUCACAUUACACGUACACAACUUUAAGAUUGUUUUUUGUCCUUGACAGUCGCCUAACCCUGUGCUUCCACAGCCCCCGGACCUGCUGCUCUCUGUGAAUCGCCCCUCUUUAGUGGGUCUUCGGUACCCCAGACUGACCUUGAACUCCUUGUGUCAAGAAGGACAUCUUUCCACCUCCUGUGUACUGAGAUUACAGGUCACCACCCAGGGUCCUCCUCCAUCCCCUCCUUCCUUGGAGCAGAAUAAAGAAGACUCUCUUCUCUCUCAGAUCUGAGGAAGACAAGCAGCUUUUUACUGCUGGUUUCCCUCCGGCCAUUUAUGGCCCCCUCUUCCGCCUCCCCCACCUUGCACAAUCUAGCUUUGUUUUCUUUACAGCCUUGGCUUGAAAUCGUGUGUUUGUGUUGAUUCUGUCUCCUUUCCCCUAUCUCUACCUCCCCCAACGUUUAGGAUAAAAGCUCCAUUGGACUCAGGACUUAGUCCUCAUCGCUACUGGAACAGAAUAAGCACAGAGAUGCUGGGAGCUGACCGACAUCCUCUGCUUAUAAAAGAGGAAACUGUGGUGCACAACCUGCUGAAACACAGCAGGGAAGAGGGCGGUGCAGAGUGUGACACCAGCCGGUAGGGGCAUCGUGACCCUAGCAUCUUGGAGAUGCCUGGCGGUGUCUCGGGAGCCUGGGUGGUCCUGGCCCCACGCGGAAGUCGCGGGGGCGAGAAAUUGAAUGAGCCCUGCUUGGGGCUAAGAGCCAGAACUGAAGAACCCGAGCAGGCAGGACCUCACAAGCUUUCUAGAACGCCCCAGGCUUUCCCACUUCCUCUCCCGGGAUGCCUCACCAUCAAGCAGGGUGUGAACAAAGCCGGCUUCUACCGGAACCUGGGGCGGCUCACAUUAGAACCUUUGAACCUUUGUGCCUUUCUCACGACGUGGCGGGACUCGCGUUCCGUAUUAUUCUGUACUUUUCCUAUGUAUGAGUUUCCUUACUCGCUUGAUUCUGUCGCUCCUUCCUCUUUCAGAUUGGACUUCUGGUUUUUGUUGGAGCAGAGUGCUUCAAAGUGGAGUGAUCAAAAGCUGUUUCUCAGUAUUUUCUUUCUUUUGGGCCAGUUUCCUAGGAGAUGUUUAUUUACUGGUUUUUUGAGACAGGGGUUCUCUGUGUAACAGCUCUGGCUGUCUCCUGGAACUCGCUUUGUAGGCCAGGUUGGCCUCAAACUCACAGAGAUCCACCUGCCUCUGCCUCCCAAGUGCUGGGAUUAAAGCCAUGUGCCACCACUGCCCAGCGAGUUGAUUUUUUAAAUUAAAGAAGAAUGGAAAAACGAAGCUAGAGAGAUAGUGUAGUUGGUGAAGUGUUUGCCAUGCAAGCUUGAAGACCAGAAUUCAAUCCCUGGUAACCACCCAAAAAAAUCUACCUGUACCCCCAGCACUGGGGAGGCAGAUAGGUAGGUCCUUGGGUCUUGAUGGCCAGCAAGGAUAGCUAAAAUAAUGAGACCCAGAUUCAGUGAGAGACCCUGCCUCAAAAAAGGUGAAGAGUGAUUGAAGAAUAUCCUCAGUGUUAAUCUCUGACUUCCAUGUACACACACAAACAGGAAAGCCCUCGGUGUCCAUUCUAUUUUAGAAGGUAGUGCAAAUUGUGGCUUAUUUUGUCCCAUAUUUGGAGGUCAAGCCAAACAGCUCUGGUUAAAUCGUGUCCCUGCCUUAGGCUUUCCCUUAUUCUAUAGGGUUUUUGUUGUUGUUGUUGUUGAAAAACAAAUGAUUUAUAUCUGGGUCCCCACUCUUUCCACAUAAGUAUAGAUUUAUUUUUACACCAUUUUCUAUCGUUUUUCUUGUUAUUGUGUAAUGUGAUAUAUUAAAGAGGUGUGAUUAAAUACCCCCUUGUUAAUAAAGAAGGAAAAAAAACCCUGCAA